AUCUAAAUAGUUUAAGGGUAAAAUAUUGGUUUGUGGUGCCGAUGAUAUAUGAUUGUAUUUUAGAUU
This 66-nucleotide transfer RNA is filed under the name Subulitermes group sp. A TB-2017. Its description in RNAcentral is "tRNA-His". It matches the Rfam family "tRNA". From Rfam's summary of the family: Transfer RNA (tRNA) molecules are approximately 80 nucleotides in length. Their secondary structure includes four short double-helical elements and three loops (D, anti-codon, and T loops). Lineage: Eukaryota; Metazoa; Arthropoda; Insecta; Blattodea; Termitidae. The record is from RNAcentral.